UNGGAAAACCCUGGUUCAGAAGUUCAGAUG
RNAcentral lists this non-coding RNA (30 nucleotides) under Mus musculus (house mouse). The record is from RNAcentral. Lineage: Eukaryota; Metazoa; Chordata; Mammalia; Rodentia; Muridae.